This 314-nucleotide ribosomal RNA is filed under the name uncultured bacterium. RNAcentral's name for it is "bacterial SSU rRNA". It matches the Rfam family "Bacterial small subunit ribosomal RNA", at positions 30 to 346 of the family's 1533-position model. The record is from RNAcentral.
AUUGAACGCUGGCGGCAUGCCUUACACAUGCAAGUCGAACGGCAGCGGACCUUCGGGUGCCGGCGAGUGGCGAACGGGUGAGUAAUAUAUCGGAACGUACCUUUCAGUGGGGGAUAACGUAGCGAAAGUUACGCUAAUACCGCAUAUUCUGUGAGCAGGAAAGCAGGGGAUCGCAAGACCUUGCGCUGAUUGAGCGGCCGAUAUCAGAUUAGCUAGUUGGUGAGGUAAAGGCUCACCAAGGCGACGAUCUGUAGCGGGUCUGAGAGGAUGAUCCGCCACACUGGAACUGAGACACGGUCCAGACUCCUACGGGA